This 1372-nucleotide ribosomal RNA is filed under the name uncultured bacterium. RNAcentral describes it as "bacterial SSU rRNA". It matches the Rfam family "Bacterial small subunit ribosomal RNA", at positions 28 to 1381 of the family's 1533-position model. The record is from RNAcentral.
GAUGAACGCUGGCGGCGUGCCUAAUACAUGCAAGUCGAGCGAACAGACGAGGAGCUUGCUCCUUUGACGUUAGCGGCGGACGGGUGAGUAACACGUGGGUAACCUACCUAUAAGACUGGGAUAACUUCGGGAAACCGGAGCUAAUACCGGAUAAUAUUUCGAACCGCAUGGUUCGAUAGUGAAAGAUGGCUUUGCUAUCACUUAUAGAUGGACCUGCGCCGUAUUAGCUAGUUGGUAAGGUAACGGCUUACCAAGGCAACGAUACGUAGCCGACCUGAGAGGGUGAUCGGCCACACUGGAACUGAGACACGGUCCAGACUCCUACGGGAGGCAGCAGUAGGGAAUCUUCCGCAAUGGGCGAAAGCCUGACGGAGCAACGCCGCGUGAGUGAUGAAGGUCUUCGGAUCGUAAAACUCUGUUAUUAGGGAAGAACAAACGUGUAAGUAACUGUGCACGUCUUGACGGUACCUAAUCAGAAAGCCACGGCUAACUACGUGCCAGCAGCCGCGGUAAUACGUAGGUGGCAAGCGUUAUCCGGAAUUAUUGGGCGUAAAGCGCGCGUAGGCGGUUUUUUAAGUCUGAUGUGAAAGCCCACGGCUCAACCGUGGAGGGUCAUUGGAAACUGGAAAACUUGAGUGCAGAAGAGGAAAGUGGAAUUCCAUGUGUAGCGGUGAAAUGCGCAGAGAUAUGGAGGAACACCAGUGGCGAAGGCGACUUUCUGGUCUGUAACUGACGCUGAUGUGCGAAAGCGUGGGGAUCAAACAGGAUUAGAUACCCUGGUAGUCCACGCCGUAAACGAUGAGUGCUAAGUGUUAGGGGGUUUCCGCCCCUUAGUGCUGCAGCUAACGCAUUAAGCACUCCGCCUGGGGAGUACGACCGCAAGGUUGAAACUCAAAGGAAUUGACGGGGACCCGCACAAGCGGUGGGGCAUGUGGUUUAAUUCGAAGCAACGCGAAGAACCUUACCAAAUCUUGACAUCCUUUGACCCUUCUAGAGAUAGAAGUUUCCCCUUCGGGGGACAAAGUGACAGGUGGUGCAUGGUUGUCGUCAGCUCGUGUCGUGAGAUGUUGGGUUAAGUCCCGCAACGAGCGCAACCCUUAAGCUUAGUUGCCAUCAUUAAGUUGGGCACUCUAAGUUGACUGCCGGUGACAAACCGGAGGAAGGUGGGGAUGACGUCAAAUCAUCAUGCCCCUUAUGAUUUGGGCUACACACGUGCUACAAUGGACAAUACAAAGGGCAGCGAAACCGCGAGGUCAAGCAAAUCCCAUAAAGUUGUUCUCAGUUCGGAUUGUAGUCUGCAACUCGACUACAUGAAGCUGGAAUCGCUAGUAAUCGUAGAUCAGCAUGCUACGGUGAAUACGUUCCCGGGUCU